This 439-nucleotide ribosomal RNA is filed under the name uncultured bacterium. RNAcentral's name for it is "partial 16S ribosomal RNA". It matches the Rfam family "Bacterial small subunit ribosomal RNA", at positions 339 to 795 of the family's 1533-position model. The record is from RNAcentral.
CUACGGGGGGCACCAGUGGGGAAUAUUGCACAAUGGAGGAAACUCUGAUGCAGCAACGCCGCGUGGAGGAUGACACUUUUCGGAGCGUAAACUCCUUUUAUAUAGGAAGAUAAUGACGGUACUAUAUGAAUAAGCACCGGCUAACUCCGUGCCAGCAGCCGCGGUAAUACGGAGGGUGCAAGCGUUACUCGGAAUCACUGGGCGUAAAGAGCGUGUAGGCGGGUUAAUAAGUCAGAAGUGAAAUCCUAUGGCUCAACCAUAGAACUGCUUUUGAAACUGUUAACCUAGAGUGUGGGAGAGGUAGAUGGAAUUUCUGGUGUAGGGGUAAAAUCCGUAGAGAUCAGAAGGAAUACCGAUUGCGAAGGCGAUCUACUGGAACAUAACUGACGCUGAGACGCGAAAGCGUGGGGAGCAAACAGGAUUAGAUACCCUUGUAGUC